UCAAGUCAGCAUGGCCUUUAUAUCCAGGGCUACUCACACGCUACAAUGGGCAGUACAACGGGAAGCGAAAGGGCGACCUGGAGCGAAUCCUAUCAAAGCUGCUCGUAGUUCAGAUUGCAGGCUGCAACUCGCCUGCAUGAAGCCGGAGUUGCUAGUAAACGCAGGUCAGCCAUACUGCGUUGAAUACGUUCCCGGGCCUU
Molecule: ribosomal RNA, 200 nt
Filed under: uncultured organism
Description: partial small subunit ribosomal RNA
Rfam family: Bacterial small subunit ribosomal RNA
Source: RNAcentral